GACGAGGGGUCCUAGCGUUGUUCGGAAUUACUGGGCGUAAAGCGCAUGUAGGUGGUUUGAAAAGUCAGGUGUGAAAGCCUCGGGCUCAACCCGAGAAGUGCAUUUGAUACUGUCAAACUUGAAUAUGGGAGAGGGUAGUAGAAUUCCUGGUGUAGUGGUGAAAUACGUAGAUAUCAGGAGGAAUACCGGUGGCGAAGGCGGCUACCUGGCCCAAUAUUGACACUGAGAUGCGAAAGCGUGGGGAUCAAACAGG
This 253-nucleotide ribosomal RNA is filed under the name uncultured bacterium. Its description in RNAcentral is "partial 16S ribosomal RNA". It matches the Rfam family "Bacterial small subunit ribosomal RNA", at positions 524 to 776 of the family's 1533-position model. The record is from RNAcentral.